Molecule: ribosomal RNA, 398 nt
Filed under: uncultured bacterium
Lineage: Bacteria
Description: partial 16S ribosomal RNA
Rfam family: Bacterial small subunit ribosomal RNA
Source: RNAcentral
AUACGUAGGGUGCGAGCGUUGUCCGGAAUUACUGGGCGUAAAGAGCUCGUAGGUGGUUUGUCGCGUCGUCUGUGAAAUUCCGGGGCUUAACUCCGGGCGCGCAGGCGAUACGGGCAUAACUUGAGUACUGUAGGGGAGACUGGAAUUCCUGGUGUAGCGGUGAAAUGCGCAGAUAUCAGGAGAAACACCGGUGGCGAAGGCGGGUCUCUGGGCAGUAACUGACGCUGAGGAGCGAAAGCAUGGGUAGCGAACAGGAUUAGAUACCCUGGUAGUCCAUGCCGUAAACGGUGGGCGCUAGGUGUAGGGGUCUUCCACGACUUCUGUGCCGUAGCUAACGCAUUAAGCGCCCCGCCUGGGGAGUACGGCCGCAAGGCUAAAACUCAAAUGAAUUGACGGGG